UGGGAUUGUGGGAUCCUAAUACAUGCAAGUCGAGCGAACUGAUUAGAAGCUUGCUUCUAUGACGUUAGCGGCGGACGGGUGAGUAACACGUGGGCAACCUGCCUGUAAGACUGGGAUAACUUCGGGAAACCGAAGCUAAUACCGGAUAGGAUCUUCUCCUUCAUGGGAGAUGAUUGAAAGAUGGUUUCGGCUAUCACUUACAGAUGGGCCCGCGGUGCAUUAGCUAGUUGGUGAGGUAACGGCUCACCAAGGCAACGAUGCAUAGCCGACCUGAGAGGGUGAUCGGCCACACUGGGACUGAGACACGGCCCAGACUCCUACGGGAGGCAGCAGUAGGGAAUCUUCCGCAAUGGACGAAAGUCUGACGGAGCAACGCCGCGUGAGUGAUGAAGGCUUUCGGGUCGUAAAACUCUGUUGUUAGGGAAGAACAAGUACGAGAGUAACUGCUCGUACCUUGACGGUACCUAACCAGAAAGCCACGGCUAACUACGUGCCAGCAGCCGCGGUAAUACGUAGGUGGCAAGCGUUAUCCGGAAUUAUUGGGCGUAAAGCGCGCGCAGGCGGUUUCUUAAGUCUGAUGUGAAAGCCCACGGCUCAACCGUGGAGGGUCAUUGGAAACUGGGGAACUUGAGUGCAGAAGAGAAAAGCGGAAUUCCACGUGUAGCGGUGAAAUGCGUAGAGAUGUGGAGGAACACCAGUGGCGAAGGCGGCUUUUUGGUCUGUAACUGACGCUGAGGCG
This 739-nucleotide ribosomal RNA is filed under the name Priestia megaterium. Its description in RNAcentral is "bacterial SSU rRNA". It matches the Rfam family "Bacterial small subunit ribosomal RNA", at positions 37 to 753 of the family's 1533-position model. Lineage: Bacteria; Bacillati; Bacillota; Bacilli; Caryophanales; Bacillaceae. The record is from RNAcentral.